RNAcentral lists this long non-coding RNA (344 nucleotides) under Phasianus colchicus (ring-necked pheasant). RNAcentral describes it as "lncRNA (ENSPCLG00000000647.1)". Lineage: Eukaryota; Metazoa; Chordata; Aves; Galliformes; Phasianidae. The record is from RNAcentral.
AGUUUCCUGUGAUCCCCAUGCGCUGUUCCAUUCUCAAAUAGGUUUUUCCCAGAGCUACCUACUUACAUGGAAUUACACGUGUUGCUGUGCUGAGACCCAAUGACCCCCAGCAGGCCAUGAAUAACCCAGUGACCUUCGUGUGGUGAUGGAACACUUUCCCAGUGUAAAUUCACUACGAAAGGAUAAAGUACUCAAACUCUUUAGCCAAGAAAGAUCAGCAUUUUGAUCAAAACCUGACAACCUGCUGGAGGUUGAGCACCGCCAGCCUGGCUGUUCCAGUUCACACACUGUGCUGUGGAAGGACUGCUCACCUCUGGGAUUCUAUAGCAGGUCAGUCUAACAGC